Long non-coding RNA from Piliocolobus tephrosceles (Ugandan red Colobus), 1374 nucleotides. Lineage: Eukaryota; Metazoa; Chordata; Mammalia; Primates; Cercopithecidae. The record is from Ensembl.
ACAUAUACGUUUACUUUUUUUUUUUUUUUUUUUUAUUAAAUAAUUUAUAAUGUUAAAACAUUCGAAACGAUUCAUUGCAUUUUUAAUAUUUGUAACUAUAUUAAAAUGCACUAAACUAUUUGGAUUAAGUAAUAAAGAAAUAACAAACACUUAUAUAUGUGUGCAUUCGUACAUACACAUAUACAUACAAACCUAGACAAAACAAAGAAAAGUGUUUUUAUAUGUUGCUUAUUAUAUAAAAAAUUUAUAAAUUAAAAUUAUAAAAUGUAAAAUAAGCGUACGGAAUUUAUACCUUUUAUGUGUGUAUUUACAUGUUCGUAAUUAUUAUAAUAUGUCUAAAAAUGUGUAUUUUUUUUAUCACAUUUAUUUAUUUAUUUAUUCAUUUUUUUUUUUUUUUUUUUUUUUUUUCUGUUUUAUAGCUAUCCAAUCAUCAAAUGAUAAAAACGCUUACAUGGGAGAGUUAACGAAUCCAAUAAAAAAUAAUGAAAACUUUAAAGAGAAUGUAAUAAUCUAUUAAUUUUAUUAUAUGUUAUAAUAAAAAACAUAAACAAAGAAUUCAUUAUUUUUUUGUUUUAUUUUAUUUUUUUGUUUUAUUUUUUUUUAUUUUUUUUUUAUUAUUAUUUUUUUUUUAGGUUAUAAAUUAUAUUGAAAAAAUUGUAAAAGAUUAUAGUGAUGAUAUAAGUAUUAUAAAAAGUGAUAUACAUAAUAUUUUUUUAGAUAUCGAAGGAGCAUUUGAAAAAUUAUCUGAUGAUGUUGCAAAAACUUUAUCAGAUUAUGGUUACUCCAUUGAGGUAGAACUAAACCGUAUAGAAGGUGUUGUCGAAUUGUUUGUUGAAAAAAACAAAAAUCGAAUUUAUACUUCUACAAAAUUAGAAGAAAACAAUGACAAAAAAGGAAUUAAAAAAGAAUGUGAUUUAGCUCUAAAUAAACUAAAAGAUGUAGUAGAAUAUAUACGUCUUAAUAAAUUUUAUACAUUUUUAAAAUAUGGAGAAGGUGAUGUAAAAAAAGAAGCUUUAGAAUAUGUAAAAAAUAAUGAUAAUAUAAAUAAAGAACUAAAAGAUGAGUUAUUAAAGUAUGAAAAAAAUGAAGGAGAAAAUAAAAAUGUAUCUAAAUUAAUUAAUCAUGUGACUCCUAUAUUUAAUAAGGUUAUUGAAAAAUUAGUGGAAUUAAGAAGCGAGCUAUCAAAAGAUUUAAAUAAAGUGCUUGAAUGAGUAUACAUUAACUAGUAUGAUGAUAUAUAUAUGUAUAUAUAUAUGAAGUGUUUAUAUAUAUAUUUUUUAAACAAAAAAAUUAGACGUUUUUUACAAUAUUAAGUAUUUUUAAUUAUGCACAUGAAUUAAUAAAAAUAUUUUAUAUAUUCUUUUUUUAUGUAUU